GUCAAAGCGUAACCUAAACCCCCCCAAAAUACCAUUAAUUUUCAUGAACCCCUAAUUUAUAAUGAAUGACUCCAUAUUUAUAUGGAAGACACCAUGCUAGGAUUAGUAACAAGAAUUUAUAAUUCUCCAAAAUGCAAAUAUAAACCAACAUGGAUAGACCAUUGGUAGUUACCGAACCUAAAUUUACUGCAAUAACACCCACAAGAAAACUCUGCAGUACUUACUCGUUAACCUAACACCAGCGCAUUACAGGAAAGAUUAAAAAAAAGAGAAGGAAUUCGGCAAAUGACGGCCCCGCCUGUUUACCAAAAACAUCGCCUCUUGACUUAUAAUAAGAGGUCCAGCCUGCCCAGUGAAUUUUAAACGGCCGCGGUAUCCUAACCGCGCGAAGGUAGCAUAAUCACUUGUUCUUUAAAUGGGGACUCGUAUCAACGGCAUCACGAGGGUUUUACUGUCUCCUCUUUUUGAUCAGUGAAAUUGAUCUUCCCGUGAAGAAGCGGGGAUAUUUUUAUAAGACGAGAAGACCCCAUGGAGCUUUAAACCAAAUAACAACUUAACUACUUAUCCCACAAUAAAUUUAAGCCCUGUUAUAAGGUUUUUGGUUGGGGUGACCGCGGAGUAAAGCACAUCCUCCACGACGGAAAGAACAUAAUCUUUAUUUAAGAACCACACUUCUAGAAAUUAGUAUACUAACGUUUACUGACCCGACAAUCGAUCAACGGACCAAGUUACCCUGGGGAUAACAGCGCAAUCUACUUCAAGAGCUCAUAUCGACAAGUAGGCUUACGACCUCGAUGUUGGAUCAGGGUAUCCCGGUGGUGCAGCCGCUACCGAAGGUUCGUUUGUUCAACGAUUAAAACCCUAC
RNAcentral lists this ribosomal RNA (865 nucleotides) under Polypedates leucomystax (Java whipping frog). RNAcentral's name for it is "partial 16S ribosomal RNA". It matches the Rfam family "Bacterial large subunit ribosomal RNA", at positions 1213 to 2599 of the family's 2925-position model. Lineage: Eukaryota; Metazoa; Chordata; Amphibia; Anura; Rhacophoridae. The record is from RNAcentral.